RNAcentral lists this ribosomal RNA (29 nucleotides) under Pseudisothecium holtii. RNAcentral's name for it is "partial 25S ribosomal RNA". The record is from RNAcentral. Lineage: Eukaryota; Viridiplantae; Streptophyta; Bryopsida; Hypnales; Lembophyllaceae.
CAAACCUCUAAUCGAAAAAGACUACCGCU